This 400-nucleotide long non-coding RNA is filed under the name Panax ginseng (ginseng). Its description in RNAcentral is "long non-coding RNA (PGIN_LNC011794)". The record is from RNAcentral. Lineage: Eukaryota; Viridiplantae; Streptophyta; Magnoliopsida; Apiales; Araliaceae.
GUGUGUGUGCUGUUCAGAAUUGCUGGCAUGUAAAGGCUAAAAGCUAGGCUUUGUGAAAUCAUUUGAUGUCUUAACCAAAGCGUGCAGGAAAUUUUAAAAAGAAACCUAACUUGGGCAUUUUAAUUCUUUCAUGGGCUAAAAUUGCUGCUCAAUCCGUGUGCCUUAAAAAUUGAUCCAAACCAUUCAAUGUUUUAUACCAUUGCUUUCAAAAUCAAAUUUCCAAAUUAUCUUUUUGUCCUUAACUUCAAAACUCUAUAAAUAGAAAAUCUUUUCUUUAUUUUCAAUUUACCAAUUUACAAAGCAAAGAAAAGCUAUAUAUGUUUGCCUACAUUUUCUCUCUCAAGAAGUUUUCUCUUCAUCUUGUACUUCAAAGUUCUAAUUCUUGAAAGAAUAUAAAAUU